RNAcentral lists this ribosomal RNA (497 nucleotides) under uncultured bacterium. Its description in RNAcentral is "partial 16S ribosomal RNA". It matches the Rfam family "Bacterial small subunit ribosomal RNA", at positions 28 to 507 of the family's 1533-position model. The record is from RNAcentral.
GAUGAACGCUGGCGGCGUGCCUAAUACAUGCAAGUCGAGCGAACGGACGAGAAGCUUGCUUCUCUGAUGUUAGCGGCGGACGGGUGAGUAACACGUGGAUAACCUACCUAUAAGACUGGGAUAACUUCGGGAAACCGGAGCUAAUACCGGAUAAUAUUUUGAACCGCAUGGUUCAAAAGUGAAAGACGGUCUUGCUGUCACUUAUAGAUGGAUCCGCGCUGCAUUAGCUAGUUGGUAAGGUAACGGCUUACCAAGGCAACGAUGCAUAGCCGACCUGAGAGGGUGAUCGGCCACACUGGAACUGAGACACGGUCCGGACUCCUACGGGAGGCAGCAGUAGGGAAUCUUCCGCAAUGGGCGAAAGCCUGACGGAGCAACGCCGCGUGAGUGAUGAAGGUCUUCGGAUCGUAAAACUCUGUUAUUGGGGAAGAACAUAUGUGUAAGUAACUGUGCACAUCUUGACGGUACCUAAUCAGAAAGCCACGGCUAACUACGUG